GAGUUUGAUCCUGGCUCAGAACGAACGCUGGCGGCGUGCCUAACACAUGCAAGUCGAACGGAAUAAGGGGCUUGCUUCUUAUUUAGUGGCGCACGGGUGAGUAACGCGUAGAUAAUCUGCCUGAUGAUCUGGGAUAACAUUUCGAAAGAGGUGCUAAUACCGGAUAAGCCCACGACGGCCUUGGUCGACGCGGGAAAAGGGGGGGACCAUUUGGCCUUCUGUCAUCAGAUGAGUCUGCGUACCAUUAGCUAGUUGGUGGGGUAAAGGCCUACCAAGGCUACGAUGGUUAGCUGGUCUGAGAGGAUGAUCAGCCACACUGGAACUGAGACACGUCC
This 335-nucleotide ribosomal RNA is filed under the name uncultured delta proteobacterium 244ev. Its description in RNAcentral is "bacterial SSU rRNA". It matches the Rfam family "Bacterial small subunit ribosomal RNA", at positions 9 to 332 of the family's 1533-position model. Lineage: Bacteria; Deltaproteobacteria. The record is from RNAcentral.